AGCUGGUUUUUCCUUGGGUAAUGAGUCCAAAAAUAGCGUUCAUUACUGGGGGUAAAUCAGCUCU
Molecule: non-coding RNA, 64 nt
Organism: Caenorhabditis brenneri
Lineage: Eukaryota; Metazoa; Nematoda; Chromadorea; Rhabditida; Rhabditidae
Source: Rfam